ACAAACUCCGAAUGCCAAUUAAUUUAACUUGGGAGUCAGAACAUGGGUGAUAAGGUCCGUGUUCGAAAGGGAAACAGCCCAGACCACCAGCUAAGGUCCCAAAAUAUAUGUUAAGUGGAAAAGGAUGUGGCGUUGCCCAGACAACUAGGAUGUUGGCUUAGAAGCAGCCAUCAUUUAAAGAGUGCGUAAUAGCUCACUAGUCGAGUGACACUGCGCCGAAAAUGUACCGGGGCUAAACAUAUUACCGAAGCUGUGGAUUGUCCUUUGGACAAUGGUAGGAGAGCGUUCUAAGGGCGUUGAAGCAUGAUCGUAAGGACAUGUGGAGCGCUUAGAAGUGAGAAUGCCGGUGUGAGUAGCGAAAGACGGGUGAGAAUCCCGUCCACCGAUUGACUAAGGUUUCCAGAGGAAGGCUCGUCCGCUCUGGGUUAGUCGGGUCCUAAGCUGAGGCCGACAGGCGUAGGCGAUGGAUAACAGGUUGAUAUUCCUGUACCACCUAUAAUCGUUUUAAUCGAUGGGGGGACGCAGUAGGAUAGGCGAAGCGUGCGAUUGGAUUGCACGUCUAAGCAGUAAGGCUGAGUAUUAGGCAAAUCCGGUACUCGUUAAGGCUGAGCUGUGAUGGGGAGAAGACAUUGUGUCUUCGAGUCGUUGAUUUCACACUGCCGAGAAAAGCCUCUAGAUAGAAAAUAGGUGCCCGUACCGCAAACCGACACAGGUAGUCAAGAUGAGAAUUCUAAGGUGAGCGAGCGAACUCUCGUUAAGGAACUCGGCAAAAUGACCCCGUAACUUCGGGAGAAGGGGUGCUCUUUAGGGUUAACGCCCAGAAGAGCCGCAGUGAAUAGGCCCAAGCGACUGUUUAUCAAAAACACAGGUCUCUGCUAAACCGUAAGGUGAUGUAUAGGGGCUGACGCCUGCCCGGUGCUGGAAGGUUAAGAGGAGUGGUUAGCUUCUGCGAAGCUACGAAUCGAAGCCCCAGUAAACGGCGGCCGUAACUAUAACGGUCCUAAGGUAGCGAAAUUCCUUGUCGGGUAAGUUCCGACCCGCACGAAAGGCGUAACGAUUUGGGCACUGUCUCAACGAGAGACUCGGUGAAAUCAUAGUACCUGUGAAGAUGCAGGUUACCCGCGACAGGACGGAAAGACCCCGUGGAGCUUUACUGUAGCCUGAUAUUGAAAUUCGGCACAGCUUGUACAGGAUAGGUAGGAGCCUUUGAAACGUGAGCGCUAGCUUACGUGGA
Molecule: ribosomal RNA, 1234 nt
Filed under: Staphylococcus aureus
Lineage: Bacteria; Bacillati; Bacillota; Bacilli; Caryophanales; Staphylococcaceae
Description: partial 23S ribosomal RNA
Rfam family: Bacterial large subunit ribosomal RNA
Source: RNAcentral